RNAcentral lists this ribosomal RNA (158 nucleotides) under Rasamsonia argillacea. RNAcentral describes it as "5.8S ribosomal RNA". It matches the Rfam family "5.8S ribosomal RNA". From Rfam's summary of the family: 5.8S ribosomal RNA (5.8S rRNA) is a component of the large subunit of the eukaryotic ribosome. The record is from RNAcentral. Lineage: Eukaryota; Fungi; Ascomycota; Eurotiomycetes; Eurotiales; Trichocomaceae.
AAACUUUCAACAACGGAUCUUUUGGUUCCGGCAUCGAUGAAGAACGCAGCGAAAUGCGAUAAGUAAUGUGAAUUGCAGAAUUCCGUGAAUCAUCGAAUCUUUGAACGCACAUUGCGCCCCCCGGCAUUCCGGGGGGCAUGCCUGUCCGAGCGUCAUUG